GAUGAACGCUGGCGGCGUGCUUAACACAUGCAAGUCGAACGGAAAGGCUCCUGCUUGCAGGGGUACUCGAGUGGCGAACGGGUGAGUAACACGUGGGUGAUCUGCCCUGCACUUCGGGAUAAGCCUGGGAAACUGGGUCUAAUACCGGAUAGGACCACAUUUUGGAUGGUGUGGUGGAAAGUUUUUCGGUGUGGGAUGAGCUCGCGGCCUAUCAGCUUGUUGGUGGGGUAAUGGCCUACCAAGGCGUCGACGGGUAGCCGGCCUGAGAGGGUGUACGGCCACAGUGGGACUGAGAUACGGCCCAGCCCCCUCCGGGAGGCAGGAUGGGGGAAUAUUGCAAAAUGGGCGCAAGCCUGAUGCAGCUACGCCGGGGGGGGGAUGACGGCCUUCGGGUUGUAAACUCCUUUCGCUAGGGCCGAAGCGUUUUUGUGACGGUACCUGGAGAAGAAGCACCGGCUAACUACGU
Molecule: ribosomal RNA, 466 nt
Filed under: uncultured bacterium
Lineage: Bacteria
Description: partial 16S ribosomal RNA
Rfam family: Bacterial small subunit ribosomal RNA
Source: RNAcentral